CCUACGGGAGGCAGCAGUCGAGAAUCAUGCACAAUGGGGGAAACCCUGAUGGAGCGACGCCGCGUGGGGGAAUGAAGGUCUUCGGAUUGUAAACCCCUGUCAUGUGGGAGCAAAUUAAAAAGAUAGUACCACAAGAGGAAGAGACGGUUAACUCUGUGCCAGCAGCCGCGGUAAUACAGAGGUCUCAAGCGUUGUUCGGAAUCACUGGGCGUAAAGCGUGCGUAGGCUGUUUCGUAAGUCGUGUGUGAAAGGCGCGGGCUCAACCCGCGGACGGCACAUGAUACUGCGAGACUAGAGUGAUGGAGAGGGAAGCGGAAUUCGCGGUGUAGCGGUGAAAUGCGUAGAUAUCGAGAGGAACACUCGUGGCGAAGGCGGGUUCCUGGACAUUAACUGACGCUGAGGCACGAAGGCCAGGGGAGCGAAAAGGAUUAGAUACCCUAGUAGUC
RNAcentral lists this ribosomal RNA (446 nucleotides) under uncultured bacterium. RNAcentral describes it as "partial 16S ribosomal RNA". It matches the Rfam family "Bacterial small subunit ribosomal RNA", at positions 338 to 795 of the family's 1533-position model. The record is from RNAcentral.